RNAcentral lists this ribosomal RNA (326 nucleotides) under uncultured eukaryote. RNAcentral describes it as "partial 18S ribosomal RNA". It matches the Rfam family "Eukaryotic small subunit ribosomal RNA", at positions 1470 to 1796 of the family's 1831-position model. The record is from RNAcentral.
CCCUUAGAUGUCCUGGGCCGCACGCGCGCUACACUGAACGGAUCAGCGCGUUUUCCCUUCCCGAGAGGGACGGGUAACCUGCUGAACCCCGUUCGUGGUAGGGAUCGGGGCUUGCAAUUAUUCCCCGUGAACCAGGAAUGCCCAGUAAGUGCAAGUCAUAAGCUUGCGUUGAUUACGUCCCUGCCCUUUGUACACACCGCCCGUCGCUACUACCGAUUGAACGUUUUAGUGAGGUACUCGGACUGAGCCCCAGAAGAUUCACGUCUUUUGUGCUGCUCGGGAAGAUUCCCAAACUUGAGCGUUUAGAGGAAGUAAAAGUCGUAACA